ACCACCCCACACUUAAAGCCUUGUUCAUCCUCAAACAAUUAUUUACUCUAAGCAUCACAAGAUGAGGAUACUCUAAACUUAUACUACAAGCAAGACACUCAAGCUAGUACAAUAAUGACUACACAGCAUGCAAGUUUCUACACUAAGAAUGGUACAAACACAAUUGAAAGUUCAAGAAUACUACUCCAAAACAUCCUAGCCUCAAGAAUUGACUCACCUAGUUGGCUAAC
Molecule: long non-coding RNA, 230 nt
Filed under: Capsicum annuum
Lineage: Eukaryota; Viridiplantae; Streptophyta; Magnoliopsida; Solanales; Solanaceae
Description: long non-coding RNA (CANN_LNC013861)
Source: RNAcentral